GAUGAACGCUGGCGGCGUGCCUAAUACAUGCCAGUCGAGCGAACAGACGAGGAGCUUGCUCCUUUGACGUUAGCGGCGGACGGGUGAGUAACACGUGGGUAACCUACCUAUAAGACUGGGAUAACUUCGGGAAACCGGAGCUAAUACCGGAUAAUAUUUCGAACCGCAUGGUUCGAUAGUGAAAGAUGGCUUUGCUAUCACUUAUAGAUGGACCUGCGCCGUAUUAGCUAGUUGGUAAGGUAACGGCUUACCAAGGCAACGAUACGUAGCCGACCUGAGAGGGUGAUCGGCCACACUGGAACUGAGACACGGUCCAGACUCCUACGGGAGGCAGCAGUAGGGAAUCUUCCGCAAUGGGCGAAAGCCUGACGGAGCAACGCCGCGUGAGUGAUGAAGGUCUUCGGAUCGUAAAACUCUGUUAUUAGGGAAGAACAAACGUGUAAGUAACUGCGCACGUCUUGACGGUACCUAAUCAGAAAGCCACGGCUAACUACGUG
This 497-nucleotide ribosomal RNA is filed under the name uncultured bacterium. RNAcentral's name for it is "partial 16S ribosomal RNA". It matches the Rfam family "Bacterial small subunit ribosomal RNA", at positions 28 to 507 of the family's 1533-position model. The record is from RNAcentral.